UGGGUAACCUGCCCAAGAGAUCGGGAUAACACCUGGAAACAGAUGCUAAUACCGGAUAACAACAGAUGAUGCCUAUCAACUGUUUAAAAGAUGGUUCUGCUAUCACUCUUGGAUGGACCUGCGGUGCAUUAGCUAGUUUGUGGGGUAAAGGCCUACCAAGGCAAUGAUGCGUAGCCGAGUUGAGAGACUGAUCGGCCACAUUGGGACUUAGACACGGCCCAAACUCCUACGGGAGGCAGCAGAC
This 244-nucleotide ribosomal RNA is filed under the name uncultured Lactobacillus sp. RNAcentral's name for it is "partial 16S ribosomal RNA". It matches the Rfam family "Bacterial small subunit ribosomal RNA", at positions 118 to 354 of the family's 1533-position model. Lineage: Bacteria; Bacillati; Bacillota; Bacilli; Lactobacillales; Lactobacillaceae. The record is from RNAcentral.